This 495-nucleotide ribosomal RNA is filed under the name uncultured bacterium. RNAcentral describes it as "partial 16S ribosomal RNA". It matches the Rfam family "Bacterial small subunit ribosomal RNA", at positions 28 to 507 of the family's 1533-position model. The record is from RNAcentral.
GACGAACGCUGGCGGCGUGCCUAAUACAUGCAAGUAGAACGCUGAAGGAGGAGCUUGCUUCUCUGGAUGAGUUGCGAACGGGUGAGUAACGCGUAGGUAACCUGCCUGGUAGCGGGGGAUAACUAUUGGAAACGAUAGCUAAUACCGCAUAAUAUUGACUAUUGCAUGAUAGUCAGUUGAAAGGUGCAACUGCACCACUACCAGAUGGACCUGCGUUAUAUUAGCUAGUUGGUGGGGUAACGGCUCACCAAGGCGACGAUACAUAGCCGACCUGAGAGGGUGAUCGGCCACACUGGGACUGAGACACGGCCCAGACUCCUACGGGAGGCAGCAGUAGGGAAUCUUCGGCAAUGGACGGAAGUCUGACCGAGCAACGCCGCGUGAGUGAAGAAGGUUGUCGGAUCGUAAAGCUCUGUUGUAAGAGAAGAACGAGUGUGAGAGUGGAAAGCUCACACUGUGACGGUAUCUUACCAGAAAGGGACGGCUAACUACGUG